UACGGGAGGGGCAAGCGUUAUCCGGCAUUAUUGGGCGUUAAGGGUUCGUAGACUGUAAAGUAAGUUAACUGUUAAAAUUUAAAGCCUAACUUUAAAACAGCUUUUAAUACUGCUUUACUUGAGUUUUAUACAGAAGAGUAGAAUUUUAUAAGUAAGGGUAAAAUCUAAAUAUAUGUAAAGGAAUACCAAUAGCGAAGGCAACUCUUUAGUAAAAACUGACGUUGAGGAACGAAAGUGCGGGUAGCAAACAGG
RNAcentral lists this ribosomal RNA (252 nucleotides) under uncultured bacterium. RNAcentral's name for it is "partial 16S ribosomal RNA". It matches the Rfam family "Bacterial small subunit ribosomal RNA", at positions 524 to 776 of the family's 1533-position model. The record is from RNAcentral.